Molecule: small RNA, 102 nt
Filed under: Treponema denticola ATCC 35405
Lineage: Bacteria; Pseudomonadati; Spirochaetota; Spirochaetia; Treponematales; Treponemataceae
Description: TD-2 RNA
Rfam family: TD-2 RNA
About the family: non coding RNA found in Treponema denticola
Source: Rfam by way of RNAcentral
GGUUUGUAAACAAACCGCAUACAACCACAUGAUGUUUUGUGCUUUGCACAAAACUCGAAGAUAAACAGAGAGGCAGAAUUCCUGCCGAGCUGUUUAUCAUAU